GCCUUCGUGGUGUAGUGGUCAGCACGCUUGACUCGUAACCGAGAUGAGCAUAUUCGAGAGGUCCGUGGUUCGAGUCCCGGCGAGGGCA
This 88-nucleotide transfer RNA is filed under the name Stegodyphus mimosarum. It matches the Rfam family "tRNA". From Rfam's summary of the family: Transfer RNA (tRNA) molecules are approximately 80 nucleotides in length. Their secondary structure includes four short double-helical elements and three loops (D, anti-codon, and T loops). Lineage: Eukaryota; Metazoa; Arthropoda; Arachnida; Araneae; Eresidae. The record is from Rfam by way of RNAcentral.